UCCAGCCUAGUGGCGUCCAAUGCUUUCACCAUUCACUCAUAUUUGACCUUUUCUCAUGCCACUCAUAUCUAAAGCAUAUGGCCUGGCUCUUGAGGAGUAUCGAAAGUAGCCUGCGAACAAGAUAACACCAAAUGAAGUGUAAUAGCACUAUAACAUCAAAAUAUUAAAGAUACGCUUAUAGCAUGACAGUCACACCUCUUCAGCGACCAUGUAAAUACACACACAAGUUCAGUGGCAGAGAAAUAAUGAUUUCACAUUAUGAUUUGGUACGAUCUUCCAAAAAACACUUGCACACAAAGAGGAUACAAAUUGAAUUUACACAAGGGAAAGGUCAUUUGUAGUAAUUCAAUAAAAGUAAUUAGACAGGUAGAGGCAUUGUAAUUGCUAGCAAUCUGUGGCAGCACUAAAUGAAUAUCACCGGGCUUUGUUUUUGAAUUUAUGGCAGGGGAGAACUGCUAAACCUUUCCUUUCAAAUACCAUUUAGACUUUAAUUUUCUGCAUAAACAAUAUUUACAAAAUCAAGCUCGACAAUGAAAGUAAGCGAAUGAGUAUAGAACUAUGGCAUGUCGACAAGCAAACAGUGCACUGAGAAAAGAACAGAAUACUCAUAACAAUAUUAGCACCAAAGACUAGCACAUCGGAGAUGCUCUACAUAAUUGCAAUACUAAAUUAAGUCCAGAACCAACAUUCAUCUUUCUCACUAACCUCUCCUACCACUAAAUAAACCUUCCUUUAUCUCUGAGCAAAAGCACCUAAACAACUGAUUGAUUUUUCUUACCAAGGAUGAGCAUGCCACGGAUUGUUUGUUGUCUCACACCCACUGGGAA
RNAcentral lists this long non-coding RNA (827 nucleotides) under Daucus carota (carrot). RNAcentral's name for it is "long non-coding RNA (DCAR_LNC006673)". Lineage: Eukaryota; Viridiplantae; Streptophyta; Magnoliopsida; Apiales; Apiaceae. The record is from RNAcentral.